This 1016-nucleotide long non-coding RNA is filed under the name Homo sapiens (human). Its description in RNAcentral is "non-protein coding lnc-MNS1-6:1". Lineage: Eukaryota; Metazoa; Chordata; Mammalia; Primates; Hominidae. The record is from RNAcentral.
GUUUAUGAACCACAUGAAACACCAUUUGGAACUUGAGAAGCAGAGCAGUGAGAGCUGGGAAAACCAUACCACCUGCCAGCACUGCUACCGUCAGUUUCCCACACCAUUUCAGUUGCAGUGUCACAUCGAAAGUACACAUACGCCCCAUGAAUUUUCUACUAUUUGUAAAAUCUGUGAAUUGUCAUUUGAAACAGAACAUGUUCUUUUACAACAUAUGAAGGACAAUCAUAAACCUGGUGAAAUGCCAUAUGUCUGCCAGGUUUGUAAUUAUAGAUCAUCAUCAUUUUCUGAUGUAGAAACUCAUUUUAGAACAUCCCAUGAAAACACUAAGAACUUGCUAUGCCCGUUUUGCCUCAAAGUUAUUAAAAUUGCAACACCAUAUAUGCAUCAUUAUAUGAAGCAUCAGAAAAAAGGAAUACAUCGUUGUACAAAAUGCAGGCUGCAGUUUUUGACAUGCAAGGAGAAAAUGGAUCAUAAGACUCAACACCAUCGAACAUUUAUAAAACCUAAACAACUAGAAGGAUUGCCUCCUGGAACAAAAGUUACUAUUCGAGCUUCAGUUGGACCUCUGCAAUCAGGAGCUUCACCUACACCUUCCAUUAGUGCAAGUGCUUCUACCCUUCAGCUCUCACCUCCAAGGACUAAAAAUAUAACUGCUAAAAAUCCUGCAAAAUCUAAUACAAGUAAACCUAAUACAGUCAAAUCCAACGCAAGUAAACCUAAUACAAGUAAGCCUAAUGGAAGUAAAUCUAAAUACAAACCAAAAAUCUCUAAUAUGCAAAAGAAACAAAGCACAUUGGCUAGUAGCAAUAAAAAAAGUAAAGUCAAUACAGCAUUGAGGAAUUUAAGGUAAUCUUUUAUUCCUGAUAUACAAUAUAAUUUAAACUUAAGUAUAAAAACUUAUACUUUAGUUAAGAGAACAUUAUUAAGGCUCUUCCUUAUUAUUUUUGUUUUAAAAUAUAUUUUUAUCAUUUUUUUAAUGUCUCCCUAAGGUAUCGUCGGGGCAUUCACAAAUG